This 365-nucleotide transfer-messenger RNA is filed under the name Christensenellaceae. RNAcentral describes it as "Scatosoma sp900769545 Standard tmRNA". It matches the Rfam family "transfer-messenger RNA". From Rfam's summary of the family: Bacterial tmRNA, also known as 10Sa RNA or SsrA, is named for its dual tRNA and mRNA-like properties. Its role is to liberate the mRNA from a stalled ribosome. To accomplish this part of the tmRNA is used as a reading frame that ends in a translation stop signal. RNAcentral also lists the same sequence under 1 other name. Lineage: Bacteria; Bacillati; Bacillota; Clostridia; Christensenellales. The record is from RNAcentral.
GGGGGUGCCCCGGAUUCGAUUGCCGGUGAGCGAAAGGAUAAGCAUACCGUAGACGGAGUGACUACGAUAAAACAUUCCACCUAAAUUUAAAUGCAGAUAGAAAUGCAUACGCUCUUGCAGCGUAACUCGUUUUUGUAAAACGAACGUCGCGCCCGAUUUAUCCGUCGGUUGGGGUCGCGGCGUCAAUUAGACGGAAAACUCUUGUAAGAAUCGGAAGGUGUUUUUAUAAGAGUAUUCAGCCUUCUGCGUUUUUUAAAGCGUGUUUACCCGCGUUAGAAAAUUAAGAAAUAAUAGAUAAACUAAGUAUGUAGAAAGUUUUUUGGCAGCCGCGUAAGACGUCGGUUCAACUCCGACCACCUCCACCA